AUGGCUCAGAAGUUAAGAACACUGGCUGCUCUUCCAGAGGUCCUGAGUUCAAUUCUC
This 57-nucleotide transfer RNA is filed under the name Mus musculus (house mouse). Its description in RNAcentral is "tRNA-Thr". The record is from RNAcentral. Lineage: Eukaryota; Metazoa; Chordata; Mammalia; Rodentia; Muridae.